This 478-nucleotide ribosomal RNA is filed under the name uncultured bacterium. RNAcentral's name for it is "partial 16S ribosomal RNA". It matches the Rfam family "Bacterial small subunit ribosomal RNA", at positions 28 to 523 of the family's 1533-position model. The record is from RNAcentral.
GACGAACGCUGGCGGCGUGCUUAACACAUGCAAGUCGAACGGUAAGGCCCUUCGGGGUACACGAGUGGCGAACGGGUGAGUAACACGUGGGUGAUCCGCCCUGCACUUCGGGAUAAGCCUGGGAAACUGGGUCUAAUACCGGAUAGGACCACUGCCUGCAUGGGUGGUGGUGGAAAGCUUUUGCGGUGUGGGAUGGGCCCGCGGCCUAUCAGCUUGUUGGUGGGGUGAUGGCCUACCAAGGCGACGACGGGUAGCCGGCCUGAGAGGGUGACCGGCCAAACUGGGACUGAGAUACGGCCCAGACUCCUACGGGAGGCAGCAGUGGGGAAUAUUGCACAAUGGGCGCAAGCCUGAUGCAGCGACGCCGCGUGAGGGGUGACGGCCUUCGGGUUGUAAACCUCUUUCAGCACCGACGAAGCGCAAGUGACGGUAGGUGCAGAAGAAGGACCGGCCAACUACGUGCCAGCAGCCGCCGUAA